GAGCGAGUGCAGUGAAGGCCUUCUGACUUUUAAUCAGAGGGUCCUGGGUUCGAGUCCCAGCGCGCUCACCA
RNAcentral lists this transfer RNA (71 nucleotides) under Microvirga sp. VF16. RNAcentral's name for it is "tRNA-Lys". It matches the Rfam family "tRNA". From Rfam's summary of the family: Transfer RNA (tRNA) molecules are approximately 80 nucleotides in length. Their secondary structure includes four short double-helical elements and three loops (D, anti-codon, and T loops). Lineage: Bacteria; Pseudomonadati; Pseudomonadota; Alphaproteobacteria; Hyphomicrobiales; Methylobacteriaceae. The record is from RNAcentral.